UACGUAGGGGUCGAGCGUUGUCCGGAGUUACUGGGCGUAAAGCGCGCGCAGGCGGCGCGAUAAGACCGGCGUGAAAGCCCCCGGCUCAACUGGGGAGGGUCACGCGAUACUGAUCGACUCGAAGGCAGGAGAGGGUAGUGGAAUUCCCGGUGUAGUGGUGAAAUGCGUAGAUAUCGGGAGGAACACCAGUGGCGAAGGCGACUACCUGGCCUGUUUCUUGACGCUGAGGCGCGAAAGCUAGGGGAGCAAACGGG
Molecule: ribosomal RNA, 254 nt
Filed under: uncultured bacterium
Lineage: Bacteria
Description: partial 16S ribosomal RNA
Rfam family: Bacterial small subunit ribosomal RNA
Source: RNAcentral